Molecule: ribosomal RNA, 651 nt
Filed under: Salmonella enterica subsp. enterica serovar Typhimurium
Lineage: Bacteria; Pseudomonadati; Pseudomonadota; Gammaproteobacteria; Enterobacterales; Enterobacteriaceae
Description: partial 23S ribosomal RNA
Rfam family: Bacterial large subunit ribosomal RNA
Source: RNAcentral
UGCAAAGCAGCAUCGCGGUGGCGGAGCGUCGUUUGCGACGCCCAACACACAAAACAAGCGGUGAAUGCUUUGGGGUGGGGUGACUGCGUACCUUUUGUAUAAUGGGUCAGCGACUUAUAUUCUGUAGCAAGGUUAACCGAAUAGGGGAGCCGGAGGGAAACCGAGUCUUAAUUGGGCGUUAAGUUGCAGGGUAUAGACCCGAAACCCGGUGAUCUAGCCAUGGGCAGGUUGAAGGUUGGGUAACACUAACUGGAGGACCGAACCGACUAAUGUUGAAAAAUUAGCGGAUGACCUGUGGCUGGGGGUGAAAGGCCAAUCAAACCGGGAGAUAGCUGGUUCUCCCCGAAAGCUAUUUAGGUAGCGCCUCGUGAAUUCAUCUCCGGGGGUAGAGCACUGUUUCGGCUAGGGGGCCAUCCCGGCUUACCAACCCGAUGCAAACUGCGAAUACCGGAGAAUGUUAUCACGGGAGACACACGGCGGGUGCUAACGUCCGUCGUGAAGAGGGAAACAACCCAGACCGCCAGCUAAGGUCCCAAAGUCAUGGUUAAGUGGGAAACGAUGUGGGAAGGCCCAGACAGCCAGGAUGUUGGCUUAGAAGCAGCCAUCAUUUAAAGAAAGCGUAAUAGCUCACUGGUCGAGUCGGCCUGCGCG